UGAUACAGAGGGCCGGCCGCUGGCAACAUCGGUCCAAUCCUUAAAGUCAUCCUCAGUUCGGACUGGGGUCUGCAACCCGACCCCACGAAGCUGGAUUCGCUAGUAAUCGCGCAUCAGCCAUGGCGCGGUGAAUACGUUCCCGGGCCUUGUACACACCGCCCGUCAAGCCAUGAAAGCCGGGGGCGCCUGAAGUCCGUGACCGCGAGGGUCGGCCUAGGGUGAAACCGGUGAUUGGGGCUAAGUCGUAACAAGGUAUC
RNAcentral lists this ribosomal RNA (257 nucleotides) under uncultured bacterium. Its description in RNAcentral is "partial 16S ribosomal RNA". It matches the Rfam family "Bacterial small subunit ribosomal RNA", at positions 1235 to 1500 of the family's 1533-position model. The record is from RNAcentral.